CCCCUCCGUCUGUCUGUCUGCUGUUGGCUUUGUCCGUCUGCAGCGCCGCCCCUCGGCUCCCCGCCACCGGCUCGGCCCGGAGCCCCUUCCGCUCGCCGGGGCCCAGUCCCGGAGCGCCCCGGCCCGGCUGGCUUGGGCUGCGGUCCCGGGUCCAUUGUCCGGCGGUCCGUCUGUCCGGAGGCGGGGCCCAGGGACCCAGAGCGCAGCGCAGCGCGGAGGCGCCGGAUACAGAUCACUUGGAUUCAGUCGAGUUUGCUUUGCUCCGUGGGAACUGCACCAGAGCUGGAGCUUAGCAUCUUGCAAGGAAGUAGUAACAUAUCCAGUCGUGAAACUGGGAAAGACCAGAGCUGUUGCAUCAGGGAAACAUGUCCCGUCGGAAACAGACAAAUCCAAAUAAAGUUCACUGUGAGUAUCGGGCUUUGUCUUCUGGAACCU
This 435-nucleotide small RNA is filed under the name Pongo abelii (Sumatran orangutan). RNAcentral's name for it is "retained intron". Lineage: Eukaryota; Metazoa; Chordata; Mammalia; Primates; Hominidae. The record is from RNAcentral.